Molecule: ribosomal RNA, 1434 nt
Filed under: uncultured bacterium
Lineage: Bacteria
Description: bacterial SSU rRNA
Rfam family: Bacterial small subunit ribosomal RNA
Source: RNAcentral
AGAGUUUGAUCCUGGCUCAGGAUGAACGCCGGCGGUGUGCCUAAUACAUGCAAGCCGUACGCACUGGCCCAACUGAUUGAUGGUGCUUGCACCUGAUUGACGUUGGAUCACCAGUGAGUGGCGGACGGGUGAGUAACACGUAGGUAACCUGCCCCGGAGCGGGGGAUAACAUUUGGAAACAGAUGCUAAUACCGCAUAACAACAAAAGCCACAUGGCUUUUGUUUGAAAGAUGGCUUUGGCUAUCACUCUGGGAUGGACCUGCGGUGCAUUAGCUAGUUGGUAAUGUAACGGCUUACCAAGGCGAUGAUGCAUAGCCGAGUUGAGAGACUGAUCGGCCACAAUGGAACUGAGACACGGUCCAUACUCCUACGGGAGGAAGCAGUAGGGAAUCUUCCACAAUGGGCGCAAGCCUGAUGGAGCAACACCGCGUGAGUGAAGAAGGGUUUCGGCUCGUAAAGCUCUGUUGUUGGAGAAGAACGUGCGUGAGAGUAACUGUUCACGCAGUGACGGUAUCCAACCAGAAAGUCACGGCUAACUACGUGCCAGCAGCCGCGGUAAUACGUAGGUGGCAAGCGUUAUCCGGAUUUAUUGGGCGUAAAGCGAGCGCAGGCGGUUGCUUAGGUCUGAUGUGAAAGCCUUCGGCUUAACCGAAGAAGUGCAUCGGAAACCGGGCGACUUGAGUGCAGAAGAGGACAGUGGAACUCCAUGUGUAGCGGUGGAAUGCGUAGAUAUAUGGAAGAACACCAGUGGCGAAGGCGGCUGUCUGGUCUGCAACUGACGCUGAGGCUCGAAAGCAUGGGUAGCGAACAGGAUUAGAUACCCUGGUAGUCCAUGCCGUAAACGAUGAGUGCUAGGUGUUGGAGGGUUUCCGCCCUUCAGUGCCGGAGCUAACGCAUUAAGCACUCCGCCUGGGGAGUACGACCGCAAGGUUGAAACUCAAAGGAAUUGACGGGGGCCCGCACAAGCGGUGGAGCAUGUGGUUUAAUUCGAAGCUACGCGAAGAACCUUACCAGGUCUUGACAUCUUGCGCUAACCUUAGAGAUAAGGCGUUCCCUUCGGGGACGCAAUGACAGGUGGUGCAUGGUCGUCGUCAGCUCGUGUCGUGAGAUGUUGGGUUAAGUCCCGCAACGAGCGCAACCCUUGUUACUAGUUGCCAGCAUUAAGUUGGGCACUCUAGUGAGACUGCCGGUGACAAACCGGAGGAAGGUGGGGACGACGUCAGAUCAUCAUGCCCCUUAUGACCUGGGCUACACACGUGCUACAAUGGACGGUACAACGAGUCGCAAGCUCGCGAGAGUAAGCUAAUCUCUUAAAGCCGUUCUCAGUUCGGACUGUAGGCUGCAACUCGCCUACACGAAGUCGGAAUCGCUAGUAAUCGCGGAUCAGCAUGCCGCGGUGAAUACGUUCCCGGGCCGUGCACUCACCGCCCGUCA